This 460-nucleotide ribosomal RNA is filed under the name uncultured bacterium. Its description in RNAcentral is "partial 16S ribosomal RNA". It matches the Rfam family "Bacterial small subunit ribosomal RNA", at positions 338 to 795 of the family's 1533-position model. The record is from RNAcentral.
CCUACGGGUGGCAGCAGUGAGGAAUAUUGGUCAAUGGACGGAAGUCUGAACCAGCCAUGCCGCGUGCAGGAUGACGGCUCUAUGAGUUGUAAACUGCUUUUGUACGAGAAUAAUAGUUCUUACGUGUAGGGAUUUGAAUGUAUCGUACGAAUAAGGAUCGGCUAACUCCGUGCCAGCAGCCGCGGUAAUACGGAGGAUUCGAGCGUUAUCCGGAUUUAUUGGGUUUAAAGGGAGCGUAGGCCGCAUGUCAAGCGUGCUGUGAAAUGUCCGGGCUCAACCCGGGCCUUGCAGCGCGAACUGGCGUGCUUGAGUCCGCGGAAAGCAGGCGGAAUUCGUCGUGUAGCGGUGAAAUGCUUAGAUAUGACGAAGAACCCCGAUUGCGAAGGCAGCUUGCUGCAGCGGAACUGACGCUGAUGCUCGAAAGCGCGGGUAUCGAACAGGAUUAGAUACCCGUGUAGUC